This 69-nucleotide transfer RNA is filed under the name Chioglossa lusitanica. RNAcentral's name for it is "tRNA-Phe". The record is from RNAcentral. Lineage: Eukaryota; Metazoa; Chordata; Amphibia; Caudata; Salamandridae.
GUUAAUGUAGCUUACAAUAAAGUGUGGCACUGAAAAUGGUAAGACAGAUUGUAAUACAUCUCAUAAACA